Molecule: long non-coding RNA, 3083 nt
Filed under: Homo sapiens (human)
Lineage: Eukaryota; Metazoa; Chordata; Mammalia; Primates; Hominidae
Description: HSALNT0387597
Source: RNAcentral
AUACUCAAACCCCAACCCCUGCCCGCCCCAGCCAGGAGGGGAGACGGUUGGGAGUGGGAGGCCUCGGCGCUGUUCUCUGGAUGCAACUGAGAUUGCCGCUAGAGGGUGACGCCUGGGUCGGAAUCCAAGGAUUUGUGAAGAGGUGACCCAAAUUUCAAGACAAUGUUGGAUGCAAACGGAUUUGCCAGCAACUGCAUCACUGUCAAAACCAGCUCUGCCCGUGUCUUCCGAAGAUACCAAGUGAAAUACAUGUAGAUGGGAUUUACAUCUGAAAAACCAAGUGAGAAACUGAAGACCAGAGAGGGUGAGUGGUUUACUCAGUUUGGCACAACUGACCCCAACCUAGCCCUCCAUGAGGACUGAGCGCAUGAGAGAUCCUGAGCCACAGCCGCCCAGCCCUGCUCCUCUCGAAUUUCUGACCUACAGGAACUGCAAGAAGUAAUGAAAGACUGCUGUUUAAAGCCACUGCAUUUUGGCAUGAUUUGUUAUGCAGUCGUAGAUAACCAGAAAACAUCGGAUUUACAUUUUAAGGUAAACUUUUUAUUGAAACAUCACAUACACACAGAGACGUCCACCAAUUGGCUCGAUGAGCUUUCUCAAAGGAAACACAUUCUCUGAGCAGUGUGCACAUCCAGACACAUCAUCUCCAUCCUCCAGAAGCCCCCUCCUGUUAUCGCCACUCACAGGUCACCCGUCUCCUGACUUGCAGCCACAGAGAUAGUCCUGCCUAAUUCUGAACGUGGUACAAACGGAAUCAUACAGAAUGGGCUUGGCUUCUUUCACUCUGGGCUGUGUUUAUGAGCAUCACCCAGAUUGCUGCAUGGAAGCCAUCGUUUGUUCAUUUUCACCACCAUAGAGUAUUCUACUGUUGAUGGGACAUAGGCUAUUUAUUCCUUCUACUGUUGAGGGACGCAUAGUUAUUUCCAGCUGGAGACUGGUAUAUGUCUCUUGGCUACCUUCUGCAUGCAUUUCUGUUGGAGGUUGUUUCAGGUAUCUCUUAACGUAUAACAGACCACCCUCAAAUUGAGUCCUUGAAACAAUUACCAUUUUCUUCUUUCUCAGGAUUUGGUGCAUGGGAUGGGCUCAGUUGGGCAGUUCUUCUGUUCCAUGUGAUGGUACUGGGGCUGCAGUCAUUCAGAGGCUCAACUGGGCUGAACGUGCAAGGUUUCUUGCUCACGUGGCCAUCAGUGGUGCUGGCUGCUGUUGGGAGCUCCACUGGACUUCUGUCCAGAGCUCCUCAGCUCACCUCUCUGUAUCCUUGCCCUGUGGCUCAGGCUUCUAACAAUACAGAGGCUGGAUUCCAAGAGGAGGGAAUUAGAAGCGUUCAGCCUUCUUAAGACCAGGAUUCAGAUGUCCCAGACUGUCACUGUAUUGACCGGAGCAUUUACAGGCCAGCCUAGUAAUUUUUCCAUCUUGGGCAGGAAUGGGUGGCAUAUGCUGGGGGUAGGGGUAGCAUUGUUGGGGAUCAUCUUUGGAGCUGUGUGCCAAGGAGUAAAUUGCUGGGCUGCUUUCUACCUGAGGAAGUCCACUAUGCUUGCUUGUGGAGAGUGGAUUGUGUGCUCAGAGUCCACAAGGAUUUAAGAAUCCGAGCCCUGCUGCCCUUGCCUCAGCCUGUGCAUUAGGGCCCGGUGGUGAGAGCACUGAGCCAUUGUGAAUCAAGGCCCCUCCCUCGACCUGCAUACUAACAGGCCAGAAGAGCUUGCUUGAUUUUGGUCCUAGGCUCCUGCCUGUGGGUUGGAUUCCAGGGGCACUCUCUCCUCCACAAACCAGACGGUGGCAGGUACAUCCCCUCAAUGGAAAUUGCCCACACUUCACCCUAAAGACAGAUCCUGCUGUUCAGCAACAAUGUGAGUGGCCCACACAUUUGUCCAGCAUGAAACCGUUUGCAGAUUCCUUUCCAGUACACAGUCCCGUCAGCCGGUCACUUCACGAUGACAGCUCCUCGAAGCACCUUUUGGUUUGCAGUUGUGUAGCUUAGAAGUAGGAGCCUGCACGGCUUCAGGAAUUCACAGAAGGAGCACACUUUGUGCUUGGAGAAGUUAAUUAUAGGAAUAUCCUGCAACCUGCUGCUCUGAGCCUGUGCACCUGGGGUGUUUCCCUGGAGGUCCUGUGUAUGAGGAUACUCAUCAGCAUGGGGUUUGGGAAGCCUAGCAGUGGAGACAACCUAGGUGGUCCUCUCCAGGGGAGUAGGUAAGAGCCCUACAGCAGUGAAAAGCAUUGAAGGAAAAGUGUGUUCAGCAGUGCUCUUAAUCUGAUCAGAGCAGCCUGAACACAUUCUAAACACAGGGCAUUUAGAACUAGGGUAGAGGCACUAGAGCACCAUAGAUACAAACUCAGAUUCUGAAGGUAAAUGCCCAGGUUCAAAUCCAAGCCCCCUCGCCAAGUGACCAUGACUCCCCCGAGUCACCUGACCUCUGUGUUUACAUCCUCAAAGUUAAGUAGUCAGGAAAGGGGGCUUGGGGCUUGCCACAUGGAUGGUUGCCACUCUCCUUUGCAAAGUGUAGUCCCCAAAAACAGGUGGAAGAGGGAAGGGUCCAAUUAGAAGGCCGAGUACCAGCUGCCAUGAAUAUGCCAGAGCUGCUGGCUAGUGAUAAAUAACUGAAACCCAGGGGGACAGCAGAGCUUGGGUGACCAUACAUUCUAGGAAAGAAAACAUGCCUGUUGUCCUGGCUUUUUAUCCAGCUUAGACAAAGAUGGGCAAAGAAAAUAAUUUAGAAAAUGGUAGAGAUGGGCACAGAGAAAGGGCACGGAGGGAGGCACAAACAGAAGGCCAAGUGAUGGUGGAGGCAGACAUUGGAGAAAUGCCUUUACAAGCCGGGGAAUGCCAAGGAUGCUGGCAACCCUGGGAGUGGGAAGAACCUGGAACACACCCUCCGUCAGAGUCUCCAGAAGGAACUGGCCCUUCAUCACCUUUCGGACUUCUGGCCUCCAGAACUGGGCAAGAAAAUGUUUCUGCUGUUGGAGGCCAUCCAGCUGGUGGUCAUUUGUUAUGGUUGCCACAGAAAACGAAUAUAGAUUUAGACAUCUAAUUUGCAUAUAUAGAUAUGCAUGUGUAUUUGUUAAAUAAAAGAUAAAGCAUGACA